This 1621-nucleotide long non-coding RNA is filed under the name Sus scrofa (pig). Its description in RNAcentral is "lncRNA (ENSSSCG00060057495.1)". Lineage: Eukaryota; Metazoa; Chordata; Mammalia; Artiodactyla; Suidae. The record is from RNAcentral.
CCAGCUGCCUCACGGCCUCCUCCGCCACACCUCUCCUUCCUUUAGAAAAGGAAUGGCAAGGCCCCAACAUUUUCCUUUUGAAAAUACAUUGGAAGAACAACUUUGUCUCUUAGCCUUUUCAGUACUGUCCCUUUCCCCGCAAGCCAGCAAACCCCAGAAAGAGACUGAUCACAUUUUCAAGCCUGCUGGUGCCUACCAGUGGCAGCAAGGACGCCCCCAGAUGGGCAAGCGGCCUCGCGUGUCCACGGACAGCGGUUCUUUCUACAUGUUUGGGCCUGGGUCCUUGGACCAGUAAGUACUGAAGGGCAGUUUCAGAGCAUCCCGGGCACAUGCUUGCUUGAAGCCCAAGUUGCUGUAGGUUGGCGUGGCAAUCCUGUGACUCAGGUAUGUGGGAGACCAGGUCAGUGAGAGACAGCUUGGGCUUGCGUGUUGCUGCUCUUCCUCUGUGGCUCCCUGGGCCAGCAGAAACUGGCCUAGAGCGGGGCUGGCGGGGGGGGGGGUUCGAAAGCAUCCCUCCACUCCCCCCGCCCCAACCCCCAGCAGACUUAGCCUUAAAAGAAGAACGUUUUUUCUGUUUGUUUAUCUGAGACUUGAGUUUGGGACAGAAGGAAAUAACAUGUUUUAGGGCGAAUGCUAACUCGUGAAUAAUGGAGUUUUGAAAACAGUAAAAUACUACCCUCUUGGUUUUUCAGACCCGAUCUUUAGGAAAACAGAACAAAGGAAGAACUACGGGUGGCUGCUGGGAACAGACUCGGGCACGGGGCUCGACAGAGAGGAUGCUCUCUGAAAGAGCAGCCCGUUAAGGAGUUAAAAAGAGAGAGAGGGCUUCAAACUAAUUUCACACCGAAAGUGAUGUUUAAUUUAAAUCCUGCUCUUCCCAAAGGGAAAAGGUCCAAAACUCAAAUGAAAGCCUCGGACCACAUCUGCGAACCCCCUGGCUGGCCAGUCCUCCCCACCGCUGUGCACAACAGGGAGAAGACGCGAACGAGGGCACACACACACACAGAGACAGAGAUCACCGGACACACGCCAACAAAGACACACAGCUAUGAACGGGCACGGGCUCGGCGGCCUCCCCGCCCCGGCGGACGGUGGUGGCGCGGUCGCAGAGGUACAGGGAGUAACAGUAAAUACCAACAAGGACGGAGACGCUUAUCAAGUCUGCCGGCAGCCUGACAGAUGCUCUCGGGCUGGGGAAGGCACUUAGGACAAUCAUCGCUCCUAAAAGAGAAAAUGAUUAUACGCUACCCAAACCCUAAGUACAAGCUAAAGAUAUUCACCUCGUUGAAGCCAUUCCUCAACUAGCCCCUUGGCACUUGCUGGAAUGAUUCGCAGCACGAGCUCUACUUUCUCAUUUUCUGCUGACUCCAUGUGGGUAAUUCCUUUCUCGUGAUUAAAAGUGAGUUUGGCAGAGCCUUCAAAGCGGCCGUAGGUGUGGGGAGGCUCCCAGGGCAUCCUUUGUCUGAGGCAGGUGGCUAAUCAUUCAUCAGUGGCCGGACGGGCGGGCCCGGGGAAUAGUCAGGCACCUACAAAUAAUUUUUUAAAGGCAAACUUUAUAGAGAGCUUUAUGUAAACAUAUUUUUAUAAUAAAACAUGCAGUGGACGGAUGAAAUGAACUGUU